This 453-nucleotide ribosomal RNA is filed under the name uncultured Porphyromonadaceae bacterium. RNAcentral describes it as "partial 16S ribosomal RNA". It matches the Rfam family "Bacterial small subunit ribosomal RNA", at positions 341 to 792 of the family's 1533-position model. RNAcentral also lists the same sequence under 1 other name. The record is from RNAcentral. Lineage: Bacteria; Pseudomonadati; Bacteroidota; Bacteroidia; Bacteroidales; Porphyromonadaceae.
ACGGGAGGCAGCAGUGAGGAAUAUUGGUCAAUGGACGAGAGUCUGAACCAGCCAAGUCGCGUGAAGGAUGAAGGUUCUAUGGAUUGUAAACUUCUUUUAUUCGAGGGUAAAGUGAGGUACGUGUACCUUAUUGCAAGUAUCGAAUGAAUAAGCAUCGGCUAACUCCGUGCCAGCAGCCGCGGUAAUACGGAGGAUGCGAGCGUUAUCCGGAUUUAUUGGGUUUAAAGGGUGCGUAGGCGGAAGAUUAAGUCAGUGGUAAAAGCGUGUGGCUCAACCAUACCAAGCCGUUGAAACUGGUUUUCUUGAGUGUAAACGAGGUAGGCGGAAUAUGACGUGUAGCGGUGAAAUGCUUAGAUAUGUCAUAGAACCCCGAUUGCGAAGGCAGCUUACCAGCAUACAACUGACGCUGAGGCACGAAAGCGUGGGUAUCAAACAGGAUUAGAUACCCUGGUA